Molecule: ribosomal RNA, 215 nt
Filed under: uncultured Glomus
Lineage: Eukaryota; Fungi; Glomeromycota; Glomeromycetes; Glomerales; Glomeraceae
Description: partial small subunit ribosomal RNA
Rfam family: Eukaryotic small subunit ribosomal RNA (bases 38-215)
Source: RNAcentral
GGACCAGUACGUUGGUCGUGCCUUAGGUACGUACUGGUGUUACUGGUUCCUACCUUCUGACGAACCAUCAUGUCAUUAAUUUGGUGUGGCGGGGAAUCAGGACUGUUACUUUGAAAAAAUUAGAGUGUUUAAAGCAGGCUCGCGCUUGAAUACAUUAGCAUGGAAUAAUGAAAUAGGACGUUGAUCCUAUUUUGUUGGUUUCUAGGAUUGACGUA